RNAcentral lists this ribosomal RNA (462 nucleotides) under uncultured bacterium. RNAcentral's name for it is "partial 16S ribosomal RNA". It matches the Rfam family "Bacterial small subunit ribosomal RNA", at positions 28 to 507 of the family's 1533-position model. The record is from RNAcentral.
GACGAACGCUGGCGGCGUGCUUAACACAUGCAAGUCGAGCGGUAAGGCCUUUCGGGGUACACGAGCGGCGAACGGGUGAGUAACACGUGGGUGAUCUGCCCUGCACUUCGAGAUAAGCCUGGGAAGCUGGGUCUAAUACCGGAUAUGACCUCCUAUCGCAUGGUGGGUGGUGGAAAGAUUUAUCGGUGCAGGAUGGGCCCGCGGCCUAUCAGCUUGUUGGUGGGGUAAUGGCCUACCAAGGCGACGACGGGUAGCCGACCUGAGAGGGUGACCGGCCACACUGGGACUGAGACACGGCCCAGACUCCUACGGGAGGCAGCAGUGGGGAAUAUUGCACAAUGGGCGAAAGCCUGAUGCAGCGACGCCGCGUGAGGGAUGACGGCCUUCGGGUUGUAAACCUCUUUCAGCAGGGACGAAGCGCAAGUGACGGUACCUGCAGAAGAAGCACCGGCUAACUACGUG